RNAcentral lists this ribosomal RNA (417 nucleotides) under uncultured bacterium. RNAcentral describes it as "bacterial SSU rRNA". It matches the Rfam family "Bacterial small subunit ribosomal RNA", at positions 355 to 787 of the family's 1533-position model. The record is from RNAcentral.
UAGGGAAUCUUCGGCAAUGGGCGAAAGCCUGACCGAGCGACGCCGCGUGGGGGAUGAAGGCCUUCGGGUCGUAAACCCCUGUCCUUGGGGACGAAGUGCUGACGGUACCCAAGGAGGAAGCCACGGCUAACUACGUGCCAGCAGCCGCGGUAAUACGUAGGUGGCAAGCGUUGUCCGGAUUUAUUGGGCGUAAAGCGAGCGCAGGCGGUUUUUUAAGUCUGAUGUGAAAGCCUUCGGCUCAACCGAAGAAGUGCAUCGGAAACUGGGAAACUUGAGUGCGGAAGAGGACAGUGGAACUCCAUGUGUAGCGGUGAAAUGCGUAGAUAUAUGGAAGAACACCAGUGGCGAAGGCGGCUGUCUGGUCUGUAACUGACGCUGAGGCUCGAAAGUAUGGGUAGCAAACAGGAUUAGAUACCC